GGGGACAAACAGUUGGAAACGACUGCUAAUACCGCAUAAGCCCACGGGUCGGCAUCGACCAGAGGGAAAAGGAGCAAUCCGCUUUGAGAUGGCCUCGCGUCCGAUUAGCUAGUUGGUGAGGUAACGGCCCACCAAGGCAACGAUCGGUAGCCGGACUGAGAGGUUGAACGGCCACAUUGGGACUGAGACACGGCCCAGACUCCUACGGGAGGCGGCAGUGGGGAAUAUUGCACAAUGGGGGAAACCCUGAUGCAGCGACGCCGCGUGGAGGAAGAAGGUCUUCGGAUUGUAAACUCCUGCUGUUGGGGAAGAUAAUGACGGUACCCAACAAGGAAGUGACGGCUAACUACGUGCCAGCAGCCGCGGUAAAAUGUAGGUCNCCGGCGUUGUCCGGNUUUNCUGGGUGUAAAGGGCGCGCCGGCGGGAAAGAAAGUUGGAAGUGAAAUUUAUGGGGUUGAAGUAUAAAGUGUUUUUAAAAUUGUUUUUCUUGAGUAGUGGAGAGGUAGGGGGAAUUCUGGGGGUAGGGGUGGNNUGCGUNGNUGUCGGGNGGNNCNCCCGUGGCGNNGGCGGCCUCCUGGGCGCCGCUGNNCGCUGCGGCUCGNNAGUGUGGGUGGCCCCCAGAAUUNGCUNCCCUGGUAGUCCNCNCCGUGGNCGAUCCCUUAAAGGUGUUGGAGGAUUGUCCCCUUCAGUGCCGCAGUUAACACAAUAAGUAAUCCACCUGGGGAGUACGACCGCAAGGUUGAAACUCAAAGGAAUUGACGGGGGCCCGCACAAGCAGUGGAGUAUGUGGUUUAAUUCGACGCAACGCGAAGAACCUUACCAAGUCUUGACAUCCCUUGACAGACAUAGAAAUAUGUAAUCUCUUCGGAGCAAGGAGACAGGUGGUGCAUGGUUGUCGUCAGCUCGUGUCGUGAGAUGUUGGGUUAAGUCCCGCAACGAGCGCAACCCUUAUGGUCAGUUACUACGCAAGAGGACUCUGGCCAGACUGCCGUUGACAAAACGGAGGAAGGUGGGGAUGACGUCAAAUCAUCAUGCCCUUUAUGACUUGGGCUACACACGUACUACAAUGGCGUUAAACAAAGAGAAGCAAGACCGCGAGGUGGAGCAAAACUCAGAAACAACGUCCCAGUUCGGACUGCAGGCUGCAACUCGCCUGCACGAAGUCGGAAUUGCUAGUAAUCGUGGAUCAGCAUGCCACGGUGAAUACGUUCCCGGGCCUUGUACACACAGGCCGUCA
Molecule: ribosomal RNA, 1237 nt
Filed under: uncultured bacterium
Lineage: Bacteria
Description: bacterial SSU rRNA
Rfam family: Bacterial small subunit ribosomal RNA
Source: RNAcentral